Long non-coding RNA from Athalia rosae (coleseed sawfly), 906 nucleotides. RefSeq lists it as uncharacterized. The record is from RefSeq and is a predicted model, not a curated record. The transcript is spliced from 3 exons. NCBI's taxonomy places the organism in Eukaryota, Metazoa, Arthropoda, Insecta, Hymenoptera, Athaliidae.
CUAAUUUUCUAAACAUAUAUCUAUUCUGACCAACGACCACGGAAAGUUCCCGAAGGUCUGCAUCUAGAUACGAAGUUACAUUUUUACUCGGGAAGGACUAGGGUUGUUGUCGCUUACGAUCGGACCCUGUAAAAAAGUGACACCCGUGAUUCGAGAGACUCGCGUAUGUCUCUACGUGCCUUACAAUUUUAUUUUCACAAGAAAUAACCAACGCGGUUACGGAGAUAUCGAGCGUCGAAGAUUCGGCUGACUCGAAGUGAGUUCGAAACACGUUGCGAUACGGUACACAUCGCGCGGUGUACAGUUAACAGUUGGGUAGUUUCUCGUCUAUGUAAGUUUUGAAUGGUAACUCGGAGCCGAGGACUCCGAACGACCUUUCUCUUACAAUGGUAACUCUGCCGGUGUGUUCGACGGUGAUAGUUCGGUUACACGCCCAGGCGGACAACCAGGUACGCGAGGAACGAACCAACCGACCGACCAACUUACACGCGGGGAGUAGAGAAAAAAUUUCAUCUCUCCCCGGGUACGAGAGAGAAGGAGGGAAGGAGGUGGAAGGAGGGAACGAGAGGCGUACGAAAGAGAGAAAGAUCGAACCGGCAAAGCAGAGUAGGGAGAGGAAGGUGUGAAGGCCGUGCGAGCUGCUGUGUCCGUAUCGGAAUCGAUGCAGUUUUUCUUCUUCAAUUCGGACAGCUUAAGCCCUACAAAUAUCUUCAGCAAACCCAUCGGAUAUAGUUUCCGUAUCUAUACGUACAGUUCGCGUACGCGCUUCCCUGGUCUUAAACUAUAUCCGUUGAUUCGCAAACUUUGCCAACCUCUUUACGAAUAUCAUUCGAUGCAACGGAGACUCGAAGAUAAUCGUUUCGCUGAAGGCUCUUCACGCGUUUCCUUCUGCUCCUGCGCAUCACG